AGUAACCCCAUUGGAUAACCGUGGGAAAUCUAGAGCUAAUACAUGUACAAAAGGCUGUGCGUAGAAAUGCGUAUAGUUUGGCAUUUAUUAGAUAAAACCAAAUGUUGAGUGGACGGUGGCAACAUCAGCUGCUUUGCAAGGUGAUUCUAGAUAACUGAGCAGAUCGCAUGAUUUUAUAUCGGCGACAUUUCGAUUGAAUUUCUGCCCUAUCAACUUGUUGGUAAGGUAGUGGCUUACCAAGGUUGCAACGGGUGACGGGGAAUCAGGGUUCGAUUCCGGAGAGGGAGCCUGAGAAACGGCUACCACAUCCAAGGAAGGCAGCAGGCGCGUAAAUUACCCAAUCCAGACAAUGGGAGGUGGUGACCAGAAGUACUGAGUGGUAGACAAUGUCUACUAAUCUCGGAAUGAGCUUAAAGUAAAAAAUUAGUCGAGUAACUACUGGAGGGCAAGUCUGGUGCCAGCAGCCGCGGUAAUUCCAGCUCCAGUAGCAUGUCGUAAAGUUGUUGCGUUUAAAACGCUCGUAGUUGGAUCAUUCGAUGUGUAUUGGUUGAUUUGCCAGGUUGGGCGUUCAAUCUGUCAUAUACAGGUAGUAGUUGACUCUACUGCAGGUGGAUGUGCAGAGCACAGUUUGGUAGAUUUUUAGCCAGUACAUGUUUGUUACGCGUAAGGAUGGUGAAUGACCUUGAGUGCGUUGAUCACUAUGUCUUGCGGAGUGUGCCUUGAAUAAAUCAGAGUGCUUAAAGCAGGUUUUUGCCUGAAUGAUUGAGCAUGGAACGAACAAUAGUGUUGCGUAUACUCUCGUCAGGUAGAUUAAUUUCAUCUGUAGAGGUAUACAUCACCAACCACCUGUACGGAUGUUGGUUUCCGUAUUGGGGUGAUGAUUAAAACGAGCGGUUGGGGGCAUUGGUAUUUGGCCGCGAGAGGUGAAAUUCUUAGACCGGCCAAGGACUAACAAAAGCGAAGGCAUUUGCCAAGACCGUCUCGAUUGAUCAAGAACGAUAGGGAAAGGUUCGACGGAGAUUAGAGACCUCCUUAGUUUUCCCUGUAAACUAUGCCGACCCGGGAUCAGUUGCGAGCUAAUAAUUAUGCUCGAGGUUGGUCCCCCUGGGAAACCUUAAGUUUUUGGGUUACGGGGGGAGUAUGGUCGCAAGGCUGAAACUUAAAGGAAUUGACGGAAGGGCACCACCAGGGGUGGAGCCUGCGGCUUAAUUUGACUCAACACGGGAAAACUCACUGGUUCAGGACGUCGAAAUGAUUGACAGACUGAUAGAUCUUUCAUGAUACGAUGUGUAGUGGUGCAUGGCCGUUCUUAGUUCGUGAAGUGAUUUGUCAGGUCGAUUCCGGUAACGAACGAGACCCAAAUCUCCAGUUACAAUGCUCUAUAGUGGACGGCGGAAACGUCGUUCACUCCUGGGAGUGGGUUUGAAGAGCAGUUUCGGCUGAUUUUCUUUCUCACUUCUAAAUAGAGCAAUGCUGGGCGCGGCAACGCGUGUAGCUGCAUGGAGAGACGGCUGNCUAUAAUUAUAAAAUCAGAGGAAGUUGGGCAAUAACAGGUCUGUGAUGCCCUUAGACGUACCAGGCUGCACGCGCGCUACAAUGAUAAUGACAACGAGCUAUCUGGGCCGAAAGGCUUAGGAAAUCUUUUAAUCGUUAUCGUGAUGGGGAUUGUCCAUUGUAAUUUGGACAUGAAAUAGGAAUCCCUUGUACGUGCACUUCAUUUAAAGUGCGUGGAAUGAGUCCCUGCCCUUUGUACACACCGCCCGUCGCUACUACCGAGUGAAUCGUGUCAUGAUGCGUUGGGACAGGACG
This 1809-nucleotide ribosomal RNA is filed under the name Myxobolus porofilus. RNAcentral describes it as "SSU rRNA". It matches the Rfam family "Eukaryotic small subunit ribosomal RNA", at positions 129 to 1721 of the family's 1831-position model. The record is from RNAcentral. Lineage: Eukaryota; Metazoa; Cnidaria; Myxozoa; Bivalvulida; Myxobolidae.